GGAUUGCGGCUCAGUGGCAGAGCGCUUGCCUCGCAUGUAUGAGGCACUGGGUUCAAUCCUCAGCACCA
RNAcentral lists this transfer RNA (68 nucleotides) under Marmota monax (woodchuck). RNAcentral describes it as "tRNA.Ala". The record is from RNAcentral. Lineage: Eukaryota; Metazoa; Chordata; Mammalia; Rodentia; Sciuridae.